UACGUAGGGUGCGAGCGUUGUCCGGAAUUAUUGGGCGUGAAGAGCUUGUAGGCGGUUUGUCGCGUCUGCCGUGAAAAUUCGAGGCUCAACCUCGAACUUGCGGUGGGUACGGGCAGACUAGAGUGUGGUAGGGGAGACUGGAAUUCCUGGUGUAGCGGUGAAAUGCGCAGAUAUCAGGAGGAACACCGAUGGCGAAGGCAGGUCUCUGGGCCACUACUGACGCUGAGAAGCGAAAGCAUGGGGAGCGAACAGG
RNAcentral lists this ribosomal RNA (253 nucleotides) under uncultured bacterium. Its description in RNAcentral is "partial 16S ribosomal RNA". It matches the Rfam family "Bacterial small subunit ribosomal RNA", at positions 524 to 776 of the family's 1533-position model. The record is from RNAcentral.